GUUACUCCUACAUGGUUUGUCACACUAACUUAUGUUUUUCUUUUCUAUAUUUUUUAAUUUCAUUAUGUCAUGUACCUUCCCAGACCCUGCGUAAAGCGGGAGCCUUGUGCACUGGGUACGACCUUUUUAUGUCAUGUACCUAAAAAGAUGUCGCACUUGGUGCGAUGGCAAGUGCCUUCGCCCAUGAGCGGUAGGUCUCGGGUUCGAGACUUGGGAGCAGCCUCUCCAUAAAUGGGGGUAAGGCUAGCCGACAUUCACCUCUCCCAGACCCUGCGUAAAGCGGGAGCCUUGUGCACUGGGUACGACCUUUCUGUCAUGUACCUAAACUCUUUAGUUCAUUAUGUCAAGGCACUGAUUCACAACAAUGUCAAGUUUUGUCCAUUGAUCACAAUUCACCAGUAUCUUGUGAAAAUGAUUGUUUCUUUCGACUAUUAGAAAUGUUGACCCUUUUUGAGUGCACACUUUGGAAUGUUUUCAG
RNAcentral lists this long non-coding RNA (478 nucleotides) under Malus domestica (apple). RNAcentral describes it as "long non-coding RNA (MDOM_LNC012084)". Lineage: Eukaryota; Viridiplantae; Streptophyta; Magnoliopsida; Rosales; Rosaceae. The record is from RNAcentral.